This 157-nucleotide ribosomal RNA is filed under the name Tomentella lilacinogrisea. RNAcentral describes it as "5.8S ribosomal RNA". It matches the Rfam family "5.8S ribosomal RNA". From Rfam's summary of the family: 5.8S ribosomal RNA (5.8S rRNA) is a component of the large subunit of the eukaryotic ribosome. The record is from RNAcentral. Lineage: Eukaryota; Fungi; Basidiomycota; Agaricomycetes; Thelephorales; Thelephoraceae.
AACUUUCAGCAACGGAUCUCUUGGCUCUCGCAUCGAUGAAGAACGCAGCGAAAUGCGAUAAGUAAUGUGAAUUGCAGAAUUCAGUGAAUCAUCGAAUCUUUGAACGCACCUUGCGCCCUUUGGCUAUUCCGAAGGGCAUGCCUGUUUGAGUAUCAUA